This 252-nucleotide ribosomal RNA is filed under the name uncultured bacterium. Its description in RNAcentral is "partial 16S ribosomal RNA". It matches the Rfam family "Bacterial small subunit ribosomal RNA", at positions 524 to 775 of the family's 1533-position model. The record is from RNAcentral.
UACGUAGGGGGCUAGCGUUGCUCGGAAUCACUGGGCGUAAAGCGCACGUAGGCGGACUCUUAAGUCGGUGGUGAAAUCCUGGAGCUCAACUCCAGAACUGCCUUCGAUACUGAGAGUCUCGAGUCCGGGAGAGGUGAGUGGAACUGCGAGUGUAGAGGUGAAAUUCGUAGAUAUUCGCAAGAACACCAGUGGCGAAGGCGGCUCACUGGCCCGGUACUGACGCUGAGGUGCGAAAGCGUGGGGAGCAACAGG